This 520-nucleotide ribosomal RNA is filed under the name uncultured bacterium. RNAcentral's name for it is "bacterial SSU rRNA". It matches the Rfam family "Bacterial small subunit ribosomal RNA", at positions 8 to 518 of the family's 1533-position model. The record is from RNAcentral.
AGAGUUUGAUUCUGGCUCAGGAUGAACGCUAGCUACAGGCUUAACACAUGCAAGUCGAGGGGUAGCAGGGUAGCAAUACCGCUGACGACCGGCGCACGGGUGAGUAACACGUAUCCAACCUUCCCAUAACUCAGGGAUAGCCUUUCGAAAGAAAGAUUAAUACCUGAUAGUACUUUUUCAAGGCAUCUUGAAAAAGUUAAAGAUUUAUUGGUUAUGGAUGGGGAUGCGUUCCAUUAGAUAGUUGGUGAGGUAACGGCUCACCAAGUCUACGAUGGAUAGGGGUUCUGAGAGGAACGGUCCCCCACAUUGGAACUGAGACACGGUCCAAACUCCUACGGGGAGGCAGCAGUGAGGAAUAUUGGUCAAUGGACGAGAGUCUGAACCAGCCAAGUAGCCGUGAAGGAUGACUCGCCCUAGUGGGUUAGUAAACUUUCUUUUAUAAGGGAAUAAAGUGAGGGACGUGUCCCUUUUUGUAUGUACCUUAUGAAUAAGGAUCGGCUAACUCCGUGCCAGCCGCUGC